This 207-nucleotide ribosomal RNA is filed under the name uncultured bacterium. RNAcentral's name for it is "partial 16S ribosomal RNA". It matches the Rfam family "Bacterial small subunit ribosomal RNA", at positions 567 to 774 of the family's 1533-position model. The record is from RNAcentral.
ACACGCAGGCGGUCUUGCCAGUCAGGGGUGAAAGCCCGGGGCUCAACCCCGGAACUGCCUCUGAUACUGCAAGACUAGAGACUAGGAGAGGGUGGUGGAAUUCCCAGUGUAGAGGUGAAAUUCGUAGAUAUUGGGAGAACACCAGAGGCGAAGGCGGCCACCUGGACUAGAUCUGACGCUCAGGUGCGAAAGCGUGGGGAGCAAACA